UUGAUGGAUGAUUGUUACUCACACACAAAAACUAGUGAUUGCUUGUUACUUUAUUCCUUUGUCAGGCUCAUUUCAGACAAAAUUAGAUUAUUAUUCGUCGGUCUUUAUUAGUUCAUUUCAAAUAAUAAAUUCUCUUUUAAAUUUGAUCAUAAACCUCUUGCACUUUUCAAAUUUCUAGUGAAACUAUUGUCCUUACCGAUCAAUUAGUUUCCCCUACUUUGUCCCAGUCAUUUAGUUCAUUCGUAGGUAUCAUUUCCGUAUACUAAUCCCCACUGCUGCAUGUUUCGUCGUCGUGGGCUGGGCGCGGGAGCCGGGCGUGGAAGCGAUGCGGCGACGAUGGCAUCUGCGUCGAAAGAUAACGAGUCAGCCUUCAAGUCGGCGCCGCGUCGCGGUGUCUCCUGCCUGCACUAGCCAUUGAUUUGGUAUUAUAUUCAGGUCAUGCCCCAGCUAUAUUCUUACAUUUGAUGCCAAUGAUUUUAUUUAUUUAUCAAUAAAUAUAACAUUAUACCUA
This is a long non-coding RNA of Ostrinia nubilalis (European corn borer), 511 nucleotides long. RefSeq lists it as uncharacterized. The transcript is spliced from 3 exons. The record is from RefSeq and is a predicted model, not a curated record. Lineage: Eukaryota; Metazoa; Arthropoda; Insecta; Lepidoptera; Crambidae.